RNAcentral lists this long non-coding RNA (1362 nucleotides) under Mus musculus (house mouse). RNAcentral's name for it is "predicted gene 16348 (Gm16348)". The record is from RNAcentral. Lineage: Eukaryota; Metazoa; Chordata; Mammalia; Rodentia; Muridae.
AGCAUUCGUAAUACCAGCAGCUACACAGAAACUCUUGAGUAUGGUGGCGUAAGCCUGUACUAACAGCGCUCGGGAGGCUGAGGCAGAAGAUUGCAGGUCCAAGGUUGGCCUUGGAAAUCCUGUUCAUUGUGGGCUGUGACUCUGAUAAAAAUCCAAAUGAGGAGACUUGGAGAACAGGAGGGCAUUAGAACCCCUCACCCAGAGAACUCCUCAUUGUACACAUCACACCCAGGGCAGCUGUCAUCGAUCCCGCCGGGCCAUGCAUCGUGCCUGCCGGACUGGAGGCCUGCCUGGUAUGUGAUAUUUGAGCAAAUCCCAGUGUGAAGGUUUUGUUUCAGGCUGCCCAUUUCCUGCCAGCUCCAACUACCACGGUGACAGGUCGGCUCUCAGCCACAUCAUCAAGCAGACUCAGGUAACCUAUUGAUUGUCUGUUUAUCGAUUAGUGCAUCUCCCUAGUACAUGGUUCUCUUUUAAAAAUUCUACCAAUUCAUUUUAGUUAGCACAGCAAAUAACGAGCUUCAAUGCAAUAUUUUCAUGGUAUUUUGCUCAUAUCCGUCUCCCAUCCUUCUCUCCCACCCCUUCCGCUUCCUGUUGUCUCCAUUCUUCCUCCCAAAGCAUCUCUCUUCUGCUUUCAUGUCCUGGGUGUGUAUCUAAAGCUAAAGUCUGUGUGUGAGGAAAAACAAGGGCAGCAUUCUUCUUUCUAUUCCCCUCAUUACUCUCUUGCCUCCUCAUCAUGGACGUCUCUUUAUAUCGUUAGGUCUGCUGUAUUGAGUUUGCAAUAUAUAUUCCAUAUAGGAGUAGAAACUUGUAGCUUUGGUAUCUUGAGUCUGGCUUGUUUUACUUAACAUGAUGGUUUCCAGCUCAUUUUUCUGCAACUUGCAUAAUUUUAUUAUUCUUUACUACUGAAUGAAGCAGAUAAAAACAAACAAACAAACAAACAGAAUACAAGUGCUUUUUAAGAAGAGGGUUCAAAAACCACAAAAAUAUCGAGGAUGACAGUCAAGGUAGAAACUAAGACUGGGAAAAUACUGUAUGUGGUCCAACUUCAAGACUUCUUUUUCCUCAGCAGCAGUUUCUACCUUGUCAUACACUGCUCACCCUUUGCCCCUCUUAUUUUAUUAUUAAGAGAUGUUAGAUGAUCAGGGAAGCAUCUUCAUUUAAGGCUACCAGGGACACUGGAAGGAAUAAGACAUGAUCAGAAAAAUAAAAACAUGCAUGAUACAGAAUGAGACCAGGACCGGAGAGAUGGUUCAGUCCACUAAGUGCUUGCCCUACACCCACAAAGUACCAGAGUGUAAACUCCAAAACCCAAGUAUAUAUUUAAAAAAAAAACAAAAUAGAACCCAGUACAGGCAUAGUGGC